Molecule: ribosomal RNA, 439 nt
Filed under: uncultured bacterium
Lineage: Bacteria
Description: partial 16S ribosomal RNA
Rfam family: Bacterial small subunit ribosomal RNA
Source: RNAcentral
CUACGGGGUGCAGCAGUGGGGAAUAUUGCACAAUGGAGGAAACUCUGAUGCAGCAACGCCGCGUGGAGGAUGACACUUUUCGGAGCGUAAACUCCUUUUAUAUAGGAAGAAGAUGACGGUACUAUAUGAAUAAGCGCCGGCUAACUCCGUGCCAGCAGCCGCGGUAAUACGGAGGGCGCAAGCGUUACUCGGAAUCACUGGGCGUAAAGAGCGUGUAGGCGGAUUAAAAAGUCAGAAGUGAAAUCCUAUAGCUUAACUAUAGAACUGCUUCUGAAACUCUUAAUCUAGAAUAUGGGAGGGGGAGAUGGAAUUUCUGGUGUAGGGGUAAAAUCCGUAGAGAUCAGAAGGAAUACCGAUUGCGAAGGCGAUCUACUAGAACAUUAUUGACGCUGAGACGCGAAAGCGUGGGGAGCAAACAGGAUUAGAUACCCUAGUAGUC